GACGAACGCUGGCGGCGUGCUUAACACAUGCAAGUCGAACGGAAAGGCCCUGCUUUUGUGGGGUGCUCGAGUGGCGAACGGGUGAGUAACACGUGAGUAACCUGCCCUUGACUUUGGGAUAACUUCAGGAAACUGGGGAUAAUACCCGAUAGGAGCUCCUGCGGCAUGGUGGGGGUUGGAAAGUUUCGGCGUUUGGGGAUGGACUCGCGGCUAAUCAGCUUGUUGGUGGGGUAGUGGCGUACUAAGGCUUCGACGGGUAGCCGGCCUGAGAGGGUGACCGGGCACAUUGGGACUGAGGUACGACCCAGAGUGCUACGUGGGGCAGCAGUGGAAAAUAGUGCGAGAUGGGCGGAGGCAGGGUGGAAGGACGCCGGGUGGGAGAGGACGGCUUUCGGGUUGGAAACCGCUUUCGCCUGUGACGAAGCGUGAGUGACGGUAAUGGGUAAAGAAGCGCCGGCUAACUACGUG
RNAcentral lists this ribosomal RNA (468 nucleotides) under uncultured bacterium. Its description in RNAcentral is "partial 16S ribosomal RNA". It matches the Rfam family "Bacterial small subunit ribosomal RNA", at positions 28 to 507 of the family's 1533-position model. The record is from RNAcentral.